GACGAACGCUGGCGGCGUGCUUAACACAUGCAAGUCGAACGGAAAGGCCCUGCUUUUGUGGGGUGCUCGAGUGGCGAACGGGUGAGUAACACGUGAGUAACCUGCCCUUGACUUUGGGAUAACUUCAGGAAACUGGGGCUCAUACCGGAUAGGAGCUCCUGCUGCAUGGUGGGGGUUGGAAAGUUUCGGCGGUUGGGGAUGGACUCGCGGCUUAUCAGCUUGUUGGUGGGGUAGUGGCUUACCAAGGCUUUGACGGGUAGCCGGCCUGAGAGGGUGACCGGCCACAUUGGGACUGAGGUACGGCCGAGGCUCCUACGGGAGGCAGCAGUGGGGAAUAUUGCCCAAUGGGCGGAAGCCUGAUGCAGCAACGCCGCGUGCGGGAUGACGGCCUUCGGGUUGUAAACCGCUUUCGCCUGUGACGAAGCGUGAGUGACGGUAAUGGGUAAAGAAGCACCGGCUAACUACGUG
Molecule: ribosomal RNA, 468 nt
Filed under: uncultured bacterium
Lineage: Bacteria
Description: partial 16S ribosomal RNA
Rfam family: Bacterial small subunit ribosomal RNA
Source: RNAcentral